Molecule: transfer RNA, 71 nt
Filed under: Sceloporus grammicus (Graphic spiny lizard)
Lineage: Eukaryota; Metazoa; Chordata; Lepidosauria; Squamata; Phrynosomatidae
Description: tRNA-Leu
Rfam family: tRNA
About the family: Transfer RNA (tRNA) molecules are approximately 80 nucleotides in length. Their secondary structure includes four short double-helical elements and three loops (D, anti-codon, and T loops). Further hydrogen bonds mediate the characteristic L-shaped molecular structure. tRNAs have two regions of fundamental functional importance: the anti-codon, which is responsible for specific mRNA codon recognition, and the 3' end, to which the tRNAs corresponding amino acid is attached (by aminoacyl-tRNA synthetases). tRNAs cope with the degeneracy of the genetic code in two manners: having more than one tRNA (with a specific anti-codon) for a particular amino acid; and 'wobble' base-pairing, i.e. permitting non-standard base-pairing at the 3rd anti-codon position.
Source: RNAcentral
ACUUUUAAAGGAUGAAAGUAAUCCACUGGUCUUAGGAGCCAAAAACCUUGGUGCAACUCCAAGUAAAAGUA